UGGAGCAUGUGGUUUAAUUCGAUGAUACGCGAGGAACCUUACCUGGGCUCAAAUGUAUGUUGACGUAUUCUGAAAGGGAUACUUCUUCGGACAAUAUACAAGGUGCUGCAUGGUUGUCGUCAGCUCGUGCCGUGAGGUGUCGGGUUAAGUCCCAUAACGAGCGCAACCCCUAUCAUUAGUUGCCAUCAGGUCAAGCUGGGGACUCUAAUGAAACUGCCUACGCAAGUAGUGAGGAAGGUGGGGAUGACGUCAAAUCAGCACGGCCCUUACGUCCAGGGCUACACACGUGCUACAAUGGUCGGUACAAAGGGUUGCCAAGCCGCGAGGUGGAGCUAAUCCCAUAAAACCGAUCGUAGUCCGGAUCGCAGUCUGCAACUCGACUGCGUGAAGUCGGAAUCGCUAGUAAUCGUGAAUCAGAAUGUCACGGUGAAUACGUUCCCGGGCCUU
Molecule: ribosomal RNA, 447 nt
Filed under: uncultured Sphingobacteriales bacterium
Lineage: Bacteria; Pseudomonadati; Bacteroidota; Sphingobacteriia; Sphingobacteriales
Description: bacterial SSU rRNA
Rfam family: Bacterial small subunit ribosomal RNA
Source: RNAcentral